Molecule: ribosomal RNA, 198 nt
Filed under: uncultured bacterium
Lineage: Bacteria
Description: partial 16S ribosomal RNA
Rfam family: Bacterial small subunit ribosomal RNA
Source: RNAcentral
ACGCUCGACACCUACGGGAGACAGCAGUGGGGAAUAUUGCACAAUGGGGGAAACCCUGAUGCAGCGACGCCGCGUGAAGGAAGAAGUAUCUCGGUAUGUAAACUUCUAUCAGCAGGGAAGAAAAUGACGGUACCUGACUAAGAAGCCCCGGCUAACUACGUGCCAACAGCCGCGGUAAUCUGAGCGGGCUGGCAAGGC